Molecule: ribosomal RNA, 254 nt
Filed under: uncultured bacterium
Lineage: Bacteria
Description: partial 16S ribosomal RNA
Rfam family: Bacterial small subunit ribosomal RNA
Source: RNAcentral
UACGUAGGGAGCAAGCGUUGUCCGGAUUUAUUGGGCGUAAAGAGCUCGUAGGCGGUUCCGUAAGUCGCAAAGUCAAAUCUCUGGGCUCAACCCAGAGUCGCUUUCGAUACUGCGGUGACUGGAGUCCGGUAGGGGAGUGUGGAAUUUCUGGUGUAGCGGUGAAAUGCGCAGAUAUCAGAAGGAACACCAACAGCGAAGGCAGCACUCUGGGCCGGUACUGACGCUGAGGAGCGAAAGCGUGGGGAGCGAACAGG